Molecule: ribosomal RNA, 253 nt
Filed under: uncultured bacterium
Lineage: Bacteria
Description: partial 16S ribosomal RNA
Rfam family: Bacterial small subunit ribosomal RNA
Source: RNAcentral
UACGUAGGGGGCGAGCGUUGUCCGGAAUUAUUGGGCGUAAAGAGCGUGUAGGCGGUCCGGUAAGUCUGCCGUGAAAACCCGGGGCUCAACCCCGGGCGUGCGGUGGAAACUGCCGGGCUAGAGGAUGGUAGAGGCGAGUGGAAUUCCCGGUGUAGCGGUGAAAUGCGCAGAUAUCGGGAGGAACACCAGUAGCGAAGGCGGCGACCUGGGUAGAUACUGACGCUGAGGUGCGAAAGCGUGGGGAGCAAACAGG